This 255-nucleotide ribosomal RNA is filed under the name uncultured bacterium. Its description in RNAcentral is "partial 16S ribosomal RNA". It matches the Rfam family "Bacterial small subunit ribosomal RNA", at positions 524 to 776 of the family's 1533-position model. The record is from RNAcentral.
UACGUAGGGUGCAAGCGUUAAUCGGAAUUACUGGGCGUAAAGCGUGCGCAGGCGGUGAUGUAAGACAGAUGUGAAAUCCCCGGGCUCAACCUGGGAACUGCAUUUGUGACUGCAUCGCUGGAGUGCGGCAGAGGGGGAUGGAAUUCCGCGUGUAGCAGUGAAGUGCGUAGAUAUGCGGAGGAACACCGAUGGCGAAGGCAAUCCCCUGGGCCUGCACUGACGCUCGAUGACACGAAAGCGUGGGGAGCAAACAGG